This 341-nucleotide long non-coding RNA is filed under the name Selaginella moellendorffii. Its description in RNAcentral is "long non-coding RNA (SMOE_LNC002084)". The record is from RNAcentral. Lineage: Eukaryota; Viridiplantae; Streptophyta; Lycopodiopsida; Selaginellales; Selaginellaceae.
GCUGCUGUUCCUGCGGAUGAUUUUGCUGCUCUUGAUCUUGCUGCUGCUUUUCAGGAUCGGCGUGAAGUGAAUCGCUUGCUGCAGCCUCGACUUGGACCGGAACCUCGCUCGCAGGCUCCGUGAUGAGAAUGGAACUGCGAUGAUUUCCAGUAAAACCGGUACGUCACCUUUGGACUCUCACCGGUCGCGACUGUUGCCAUUUUGACCGCUGACAAACGUUUUCUUAACUCAAUUUAUUAUUAAGCAUUAUUUAACCUCUUAAUUAUCAGGAGACAAAGCAGUUUUCAUGUUUAGCGAGGCAAAGGAACAAGCUUCAAGGGAAGUGCACGGGGAAUGGUGAA